Bombus impatiens (common eastern bumble bee) is the source of this 1993-nucleotide long non-coding RNA. RefSeq lists it as uncharacterized. The record is from RefSeq and is a predicted model, not a curated record. The transcript is spliced from 2 exons. NCBI's taxonomy places the organism in Eukaryota, Metazoa, Arthropoda, Insecta, Hymenoptera, Apidae.
AGAAUAAAAAUUCAUGAAUGUUGCGUAUCUAUGAAAAUUUGAGUAAACCUGACAAAUAAUUAGGAAAUUAUUGAAAUCUUUAAGAAUUAUUAUAUUACUGGAAACAAUAUCUAGUACACGUAUUGUAUUUAUUAUUGCACAUAUUAUAUUCCGUACAUAGUUUCGUUCGAAUAGAAUAGAAUGCACUUUACCAGUCGAUCGUUAAUUUUGAUCUGAUCGAAACAUUAAAAUUGUUCUAUUUCGAAACUCGCAUUAGUAUGUAAAUGAGGAAUAAUUAUAGGAGUUGGCAGUAAAGCGAGUAAACAGACACGGUCUCCAGUCAUGCUCGACUCUCGUAACUGCUCGUAGCACACGCUCGAGCGUUGGGAAUGCGGAACCGCAUCCGCUUGGGGCUUAUGUUAGACAGUUCAUAUACGGAAGUGUCAAUCGAAUCUGUAGACACGGUCGCCUUGACCGCGGCUGACGUCGCAGUUCAAUGCCGGUGUAACGCGACUUUUUUAUUAUUAUUAUUAAUAUUGCUGCGCGGUUGCAUAAUUUCACGGAUAGGAACAAGGAACUGGCAAACAACAGGAGGAAGAAAAAGAAACAACAUGAUGGACAUUGAGAAGUGCGUGGAAAUUGCAGGUAUAAGCGUGCAGCAAACUUUGAGAGGAAUUAUCGAUGAUAACAUGUUGUUAAUUCUUUAAAUCAGUGAUGAUCCCUGCUGUGCUAAUAAGAAUGCAGAUCGGUCCCAUAGUAUAAGUAGCAGCAAAGAAGAUAAAAAAAAAGAUGUAUCGAAGGAACGCGAAUGAGGUUGGCUGCACAGUUGCGGAUGGAACAAUGUUUGCCAAUCUAAUGGAACCUGCAUCGUGUUACGUAAUGAUCGACAGUAAGAGAACGCGCGCACCUAUGUAGCCUUUUUGAUUCGUGGCCUGUUGCGGAGCACCGGAUAAAGGAUAAAGUUAAUUUCCACGGAAUUUUUCGUCAGCAAUUUGCCAGCUCUUCGAACUUUUCAAGCCUCUUGAAAAGUUUCAAUCAUAACAUCUAGUCGAAGAUUUAUCAUUAAAAAUGAGCAGGAAGUGUUCAAAGCAUAUGUCAUUGCCUAAUUUCGUUUAAAUAUUUCCAACUAAAGUAUAAAGUGAAAUAUUACAACACAUUAAUAUGAUAAUAUUAAUUAUUUUAAUAUUUUAAUAUUAAUUAAUAUCAUACAUAUUGUCAUGAUACUGAUUACAAUCUGCAAAUGCAACGAUAUGAUCAAAAUACAUAUUCAGAAUUAUUAAUUGGUAAGUAUUAUUUAAGGAGUAAUUGUAAAAAAUUACACGGAAUUUGAGGAUAAACAUUAUUCAAGAUACGAAUUUAAGAAGUCGGGUUUAAAGGAUUUUUCUUUCACCAGGUGCAAUUGUAAAGCAUGGAAGAAAUUGUUACGUAAUCACUGCAGACAUGUAAAUUCAUAUUUUCGUGGAUGUAGUUGAGAAAUGAAACUUUGACUAUUACUUCAUCUAUUAAAUAUUCUAGACAAUACUAUGUUUUGGAUAUUUCGUAUAUUUUUGCAAUCUACAAAUUUGCUACAGCUGUACGAAAAUUUGCAAUCAAAUAAUUACUGUAGGAGUCCCAUAUACUACGCUUCUCAUGAAACGAGUAUUAAUAGCAAUCGAUUAAAAAUUCACCCGAGUAUUCGAUUCAUGACAGAUAAGUUCCCAAGCUACGACUCCAAGAAUGACACAUUUCCACAUAAAUUGCAGUCGUUUGACCCAAAUGAUAUAUACCCAUUAUAAAUCCAAGAUAAAUGUUUGAUUGAUGGUUUAAUAUUUUGUUUUUUGAUUAUGUCGUGUUCUGUUAGAACAAAGUCUUGUAAAUUUUAUUUCAUAGAUUCGAAACACUGAGUAAGUGAAAAUAUCAAGUGUUACAAUGGAACAUGUUAUCUGUGUUCAUAUAUUAUUGACUUUAAUCUUUUAUUUGUUAUCUAUUACAAAAAAUGUUCUACUUAUAAAUACAUUUCUAUCUAUUAUGUAUA